UUGGGAUAGCUUCAGGAAGCUGGGGCUAAUACCGGAUAGGAGCUCCUGCUGCAUGGUGGGGGUUGGAAAGUUUCGGCGGUUGGGGAUGGACUCGCGGCUUAUCAGCUUGUUGGUGGGGUAGUGGCUUACCAAGGCUUUGACGGGUAGCCGGCCUGAGAGGGUGACCGGCCACAUUGGGACUGAGAUACGGCCCAG
Molecule: ribosomal RNA, 195 nt
Filed under: uncultured Actinomycetales bacterium
Lineage: Bacteria; Bacillati; Actinomycetota; Actinomycetes; Actinomycetales
Description: partial 16S ribosomal RNA
Rfam family: Bacterial small subunit ribosomal RNA
Source: RNAcentral